RNAcentral lists this ribosomal RNA (253 nucleotides) under uncultured bacterium. Its description in RNAcentral is "partial 16S ribosomal RNA". It matches the Rfam family "Bacterial small subunit ribosomal RNA", at positions 524 to 776 of the family's 1533-position model. The record is from RNAcentral.
UACGUAGGGUCCAAGCGUUGUUCGGAAUUAUUGGGCGUAAAGGGCUCGUAGGCGGUCUGUUGCGUCUGGAGUGAAAACUUACAGCUUAACUGUAAGAGUGCUUUCGAUACGGGCAGACUUGAGGCAUUCAGGGGAGAACGGAAUUCCUGGUGUAGCGGUGAAAUGCGCAGAUAUCGGGAGGAACACCAAUGGCGAAGGCAGCUCGCUGGGACGUGACUGACGCUGAGACGCGAAAGCGUGGGGAGCAAACAGG